UACCAGCACCCCGAGUGGUCGGGACGAUUAUUGGGCCUAAAGCAUCCGUAGCCGGUUCUACAAGUCUUCCGUUAAAUCCACCUGCUUAACAGAUGGGCUGCGGAGGAUACUAUAGAGCUAGGAGGCGGGAGAGGCAAGCGGUACUUAGUGGGUAGGGGUAAAAUCCGUUGACCCAUUGAAGACCACCAGUGGCGAAGGCGGCUUGCCAGAACACACUCGACGGUGAGGGAUGAAAGCUGGGGGAGCAAACCGG
This 253-nucleotide ribosomal RNA is filed under the name uncultured bacterium. RNAcentral describes it as "partial 16S ribosomal RNA". It matches the Rfam family "Archaeal small subunit ribosomal RNA", at positions 474 to 727 of the family's 1478-position model. The record is from RNAcentral.